GACGAACGCUGGCGGCGUGCCUAAUACAUGCAAGUCGAACGAACCGCGACUAAGUGCUUGCACUAAGUCAAGGUGAGUGGCGAACGGGUGAGUAACACGUGGGUAACCUACCUCAUAGUGGGGGAUAACAGUCGGAAACGACUGCUAAUACCGCAUAGGACAUAGGAUCACAUGAUCCAGUGAGGAAAGGUGGCGCAAGCUAUCGCUAAGAGAUGGACCCGCGGUGCAUUAGCUAGUUGGUAGGUUAAAGGCCUACCAAGGCGAUGAUGCAUAGCCGACCUGAGAGGGUGAUCGGCCACAUUGGGACUGAGACACGGCCCAAACUCCUACGGGAGGCAGCAGUAGGGAAUCUUCCGCAAUGGACGCAAGUCUGACGGAGCAACGCCGCGUGAGUGAAGAAGGUCUUCGGAUCGUAAAGCUCUGUUGUUAGAGAAGAACAGCGCAUAGAGUAACUGCUAUGCGUGUGACGGUAUCUAACCAGAAAGCCACGGCUAACUACGUG
Molecule: ribosomal RNA, 502 nt
Filed under: uncultured bacterium
Lineage: Bacteria
Description: partial 16S ribosomal RNA
Rfam family: Bacterial small subunit ribosomal RNA
Source: RNAcentral